GUAGGGAAUCUUCCACAAUGGGCGAAAGCCUGAUGGAGCAACGCCGCGUGUGUGAUGAAGGCUUUCGGGUCGUAAAGCACUGUUGUAUGGGAAGAACAGCUAGAAUAGGAAAUGAUUUUAGUUUGACGGUACCAUACCAGAAAGGGACGGCUAAAUACGUGCCAGCAGCCGCGGUAAUACGUAUGUCCCGAGCGUUAUCCGGAUUUAUUGGGCGUAAAGCGAGCGCAGACGGUUUAUUAAGUCUGAUGUGAAAGCCCGGAGCUCAACUCCGGAAUGGCAUUGGAAACUGGUUAACUUGAGUGCAGUAGAGGUAAGUGGAACUCCAUGUGUAGCGGUGGAAUGCGUAGAUAUAUGGAAGAACACCAGUGGCGAAGGCGGCUUACUGGACUGCAACUGACGUUGAGGCUCGAAAGUGUGGGUAGCAAACAGGAUUAGAAACCCUAGUAGUCC
Molecule: ribosomal RNA, 450 nt
Filed under: uncultured bacterium
Lineage: Bacteria
Description: bacterial SSU rRNA
Rfam family: Bacterial small subunit ribosomal RNA
Source: RNAcentral